UAAUACGGGGGGUGCAAGCGUUGUUCGGAAUCAUUGGGCGUAAAGAGCGUGUAGGCGGCUGGAUAAGUCAGAUGUGAAAGCCCUGGGCUCAACCCAGGAAGUGCAUUUGAUACUGUCCUGCUAGAGUAGGGAAGAGGGAAGUGGAAUUCCUGGUGUAGAGGUGAAAUUCGUAGAUAUCAGGAGGAACACCGGUGGCGAAGGCGACUUCCUGGUCCUAUACUGACGCUGAGACGCGAGAGCGUGGGGAGCAAACAGG
Molecule: ribosomal RNA, 256 nt
Filed under: uncultured bacterium
Lineage: Bacteria
Description: partial 16S ribosomal RNA
Rfam family: Bacterial small subunit ribosomal RNA
Source: RNAcentral